UUUCCGUAGGUGAACCUGUGGAAGGAUCAUUACUGAGUCUUCUGAUCCGCAAGGAUCGGUCGCUCUACCCCUUGAUAUUUGGUCGGUGGAGGCGGUUUUCUUGGGGGGCAACCCCCUUUGCGAGCCGCCGAAACCUCUUAUCUCUUCGGAGGUCGUGGUGAGAGCCCGGCCCCGGCACGUAAAACUAUUCGAUACUUUGAAGUCUGAGUGGGUACCAAUAGAAGCAAAACUUUCAACAACGGAUCUCUUGGCUCUGGCAUCGAUGAAGAACGCAGC
This 276-nucleotide unclassified non-coding RNA is filed under the name uncultured fungus. RNAcentral describes it as "sequence contains ITS1, 5.8S rRNA gene". The stretch from base 228 to 276 matches the Rfam family "5.8S ribosomal RNA", at positions 1 to 49 of the family's 154-position model. The record is from RNAcentral. Lineage: Eukaryota; Fungi.